Molecule: ribosomal RNA, 253 nt
Filed under: uncultured bacterium
Lineage: Bacteria
Description: partial 16S ribosomal RNA
Rfam family: Bacterial small subunit ribosomal RNA
Source: RNAcentral
UACGAAGGGGGCUAGCGUUGCUCGGAAUUACUGGGCGUAAAGCGCACGUAGGCGGGUCGUUAAGUCGGGGGUGAAAUCCUGGAGCUCAACUCCAGAACUGCCUUCGAUACUGGCGAUCUUGGGUCCGGGAGAGGUGAGUGGAACUCCGAGUGUAGAGGUGAAAUUCGUAGAUAUUCGGAAGAACACCAGUGGCGAAGGCGGCUCACUGGCCCGGUACUGACGCUGAGGUGCGAAAGCGUGGGGAGCAAACAGG